UCAAGCUACUAAGGGCAUACGGUGGAUGCCUAGGCGCCAAGAGCCGAAGAAGGACGCGGUAAGCUGCGAAAAGCCACGGGGAACUGCAAGCAAGUAUUGAUCCGUGGAUAUCCGAAUGGGGAAACCCGGCCAUCGUCAUGGAUGGUCACCCGCAAGGGAGGGAACCUGGGGAACUGAAACAUCUAAGUACCCGGAGGAAGAGAAAUCAAACGAGAUGCCCACAGUAGCGGCGAGCGAAGAGGGCAGAGCCCAAACCGAGAAGCUCCGGCUUUUCGGGGUUGAGGACCGGCAGAAUCGAAGUCAGGCCUAGUUGAAUUACCUGGAAAGGUAAGCGAGAGAGGGUAAAAGCCCCGUAGACGAAAGGCAGAGCAGAGAGGCCGAGAUCCAGAGUACCACGAAGCACGAGGAAUUUUGUGGGAAGCAGGGGGGACCACCCUCCAAGGCUAAAAACUACUUGGCGACCGAUAGCGCAUAGUACCGUGAGGGAAAGGUGAAAAGAACCCCGGGAGGGGAGUGAAAUAGAACCUGAAACCCUGCACUUACAAGCUGUGGGAGCACAUUACUUGUGUGACCGCGUACUUUUUGUAGAACGGGCCAACGAGUUACGUUAAGUAGCAAGGUUAAGCACUUAAGGUGUGGAGCCGUAGCGAAAGCGAGUCUUAAAUGGGCGAUUAAGUUACUUGGCGUAGACCCGAAACCGGGCGACCUAUCCAUGAGCAGGUUGAAGCGAAAGUAAAAUUUCGUGGAGGACCGAACCCACGAGCGUUGAAAAGCUCGGGGAUGACUUGUGGAUAGCGGUGAAAUUCCAAUCGAGCCCGGAGAUAGCUGGUUCUCCCCGAAAUAGCUUUAGGGCUAGCCUCAAGCGUAGAGAAACGGAGGUAGAGCACUGAAUGUCCUAGGGGGUAUUGCACUUACCGAAGACUAUCAAACUCCGAAUGCCGUUUUCUUUUACUUGGGAGUCAGACUGUGGGUGAUAAGAUUCAUAGUCAAAAGGGCAACAGCCCAGAUCGUCAGCUAAGGUCCCUAAAUGUACGUUAAGUGGUAAAGGAUGUGGGAUUGCACAGACAACCAGGAUGUUGGCUUAGAAGCAGCCACUCAUUUAAAGAGUGCGUAAUAGCUCACUGGUCGAGUGAUCCUGCGCCGAAAAUUUCCGGGGCUAAAACGUACUACCGAAGCUACGGCAUCAUUUAUGAUGGGUAGGGGAGCUUCGUAUGCAGGCUGAAGCAUGACCGUAAGGACAUGUGGACAGUAUACGAGUGAGAAUGUUGGCAUGAGUAGCGAGACGUGGGUGAGAAUCCCACGGGCCGUAAACCCAAGGUUUCCAGGGGAAGGUUCGUCCGCCCUGGGUUAGUCGGGACCUAAGCCGAGGCCGAAAGGCGUAGGUGAUGGACAACAGGUUGAUAUUCCUGUACCGCCAAUAAGCGUUUGAGAGAUGGAGUGACACAGUAGGAUAAGCUAACCGUACUGUUGGUUAUGUACGGCUAAGCAUUGAGGCAGUCUAAAUAGGCAAAUCCGUUUAGACAAUGCUAGGAUGUGAUGGGGAAGCCCUCCGGGGCGAAGUAGCUGAUUUCACACUGUCAAGAAAAGCUUCUAUCGAGUUUAAAGGCGCCCGUACCGUAAACCGACACAGGUGGGUGAGGAGAGUAUCCUAAGGCCAGCGAGAGAACUAUUGUUAAGGAACUCGGCAAAAUGACCCCGUAACUUAGGGAGAAGGGGUGCCUGUCUAUGACAGGCCGCAGAGAAUAGGCCCAAGCGACUGUUUACCAAAAACACAGGUUUCUGCUAAGUCGCAAGACGAUGUAUAGGAGCUGACGCCUGCCCGGUGCUGGAAGGUUAAGGGGAUCUGUUAGAGCAAUCGAAGCAGUGAACUUAAGCCCCAGUAAACGGCGGCCGUAACUAUAACGGUCCUAAGGUAGCGAAAUUCCUUGUCGGGUAAGUUCCGACCCGCACGAAAGGCGUAACGAUUUGGGCACUGUCUCAACAAUAGACUCGGUGAAAUUGUAAUCCCGGUGAAGAUGCCGGGUACCUGCGACAGGACGGAAAGACCCCAUGGAGCUUUACUGUAGCUUGACGUUGGGUCUUGGUACUACAUGUACAGGAUAGGUGGGAGACUAUGAAGCAUGGACGCCAGUCUGUGUGGAGUCAUCCUUGGGAUACCACCCUUGUAGUACUGGGAUCCUAACCAUAGGCCUUGAAUCAGGUCUUGGAACACCGUCAGGUGGGCAGUUUGACUGGGGCGGUCGCCUCCUAAAAAGUAACGGAGGCGCUCAAAGGUUUCCUCAGCACGGUCGGAAAUCGUGCGAAGAGUGUAAAGGCAAAAGGAAGCUUGAUUGCAAGACAUACAGGUCGAGCAAGGACGAAAGUCGGACUUAGUGAUCCGGUGGUACCGCAUGGAAGGGCCAUCGCUCAACGGAUAAAAGCUACCCUGGGGAUAACAGGCUUAUC
Molecule: ribosomal RNA, 2445 nt
Filed under: human gut metagenome
Description: bacterial LSU rRNA
Rfam family: Bacterial large subunit ribosomal RNA
Source: RNAcentral